RNAcentral lists this ribosomal RNA (411 nucleotides) under bacterium enrichment culture clone ALO1_GLFRUDD03HA73E. RNAcentral describes it as "bacterial SSU rRNA". It matches the Rfam family "Bacterial small subunit ribosomal RNA", at positions 9 to 420 of the family's 1533-position model. The record is from RNAcentral.
GAGUUUGAUCGUGGCUCAGAUUGAACGCUGGCGGCAUGCCUUACACAUGCAAGUCGAACGGCAGCACGGGAGCUUGCUCCUGGUGGCGAGUGGCGAACGGGUGAGUAAUGCAUCGGAACGUAUCCUGGAGUGGGGGACAACGUAGCGAAAGUUACGCUAAUACCGCAUAUUCUGUGAGCAGGAAAGCGGGGGACCUUCGGGCCUCGCGCUCUUGGAGCGGCCGAUGUCGGAUUAGCUAGUUGGUGAGGUAAAGGCUCACCAAGGCGACGAUCCGUAGCAGGUCUGAGAGGAUGAUCUGCCACACUGGAACUGAGACACGGUCCAGACUCCUACGGGAGGCAGCAGUGGGGAAUUUUGGACAAUGGGGGCAACCCUGAUCCAGCCAUGCCGCGUGAGUGAAGAAGGCCUCGG